CCUACGGGGUGCAGCAGUGAGGAAUAUUGGUCAAUGGACGAGAGUCUGAACCAGCCAAGUAGCGUGAAGGAUGACUGCCCUAUGGGUUGUAAACUUCUUUUAUAAGGGAAUAAAACGAGGCACGUGUGCCUUUUUGCAUGUACUUUAUGAAUAAGGAUCGGCUAACUCCGUGCCAGCAGCCGCGGUAAUACGGAGGAUCCGAGCGUUAUCCGGAUUUAUUGGGUUUAAAGGGAGCGUAGUUGGGUUGUUAAGUCAGUUGUGAAAAUUUGCGGCUCAACCGUAAAAUUGCAGUUGAUACUGGCAGUCUUGAGUACAGGUGAGGUAGGCGGAAUUCGUGGUGUAGCGGUGAAAUGCAUAGAUAUCACGAAGAACCCCGAUUGCGAAGGCAGCUUACUAAACUGUGACUGACAUUGAUGCACGAAAGUGUGGGUAUCGAACAGGAUUAGAUACCCUUGUAGUC
Molecule: ribosomal RNA, 460 nt
Filed under: uncultured bacterium
Lineage: Bacteria
Description: partial 16S ribosomal RNA
Rfam family: Bacterial small subunit ribosomal RNA
Source: RNAcentral